GCUGGGCUUGGUGGUGCACACCUGUGGUCCCAGCUACUCAGGAGGCUGAGGCAGGAGGAUGGCUUAAGCCCAGGAGUUCAAGGCUACAGUGAGCCAAGAUUGCAUCACUGUACUCCUGCCUGGGCAACAGAGCGAGACCCUGCCUCAA
RNAcentral lists this small RNA (148 nucleotides) under Pongo abelii (Sumatran orangutan). Its description in RNAcentral is "Metazoan signal recognition particle RNA (ENSPPYG00000039075.1)". It matches the Rfam family "Metazoan signal recognition particle RNA". From Rfam's summary of the family: The signal recognition particle (SRP) is a universally conserved ribonucleoprotein. It is involved in the co-translational targeting of proteins to membranes. The eukaryotic SRP consists of a 300-nucleotide 7S RNA and six proteins: SRPs 72, 68, 54, 19, 14, and 9. The record is from Rfam by way of RNAcentral. Lineage: Eukaryota; Metazoa; Chordata; Mammalia; Primates; Hominidae.